AGAAUCAACGCUGGCGGCGUGCCUAACACAUGCAAGUCGAACGAGAAAGUGGAGCAAUCCAUGAGUAAAGUGGCGACCGGGUGAGUAACACGUGACUAACCUACCUUCGAGUGGGGGAUAACCCCGGGAAACCGGGCUAAUACCGCAUAACAUCGCAAGAUCAAAGCAGCAAUGCGCUGGAAGAGGGGGUCGCGGCUGAUUAGCUAGUUGGCGGGGUAACGGCCCACCAAGGCGAAGAUCGGUA
This 244-nucleotide ribosomal RNA is filed under the name uncultured bacterium. RNAcentral describes it as "partial small subunit ribosomal RNA". It matches the Rfam family "Bacterial small subunit ribosomal RNA", at positions 26 to 285 of the family's 1533-position model. The record is from RNAcentral.